ACCGGAGAGGCUCCCGUGAAGCCCGGCCUCAGCAGUCAUUUCCAAUACCAUGAUUCUUUCUCUGUUUUUUUUAAAAAAAUUCUUCCAAUGAUAUCUUUAUGAAAACAGAAAGAGAAGCAUCUGUGUUUCCUUCUAAUUACAUCUUGUAGCUGCCUGUUUGAUUUGCAUCUUUCUAAGAUGGUUGACUUUACAAGUUAUCUCAAUAAAAGUGGCCAGAUGCCUAACUCAGAACCAGAGCAUUUUGAACCACAAAAUGGAAUUGGAAUUUUGGCCCAGAACAAGCUGGUUCUGUUAUCAGGCCCCUGGGUGGGGCAGGGGGCAGCCAGCCAGGUCCUAGACAUAACUUUUGGGGGAUAUGGGGCUUGCGUCCCCUCAGUGUCACAACAUGCCUCACAGUGGACUUCGCAUGCGUUGAUAUUUGAAGCACGAUCAUCAAAACUUUGUGAUAAUUGAUCGUAGUGUUUAGUAACAAUGUAAACACUUAAAAAAAUUCAAGAUAGAAAAUAAAAACGAAGGCAAGUUGGGACUGCCAGAGAAGACCCGUCACUCCUCAUGCAAGUUAUCUGCGACUCCCAUAUGUUUUGUGUCAAAGACUCACCUUUAUUGUGCUGUCCAAUCCCUUCCCCAGUGCAGAAACAAGUCUCCCAUGGAGGGGGCUGGGGCAGACACAGUUUGCUGAAAGGAACAAUUUUGAGUGGUUGUGGCAUUCUGUGUCCAUUUCUGGCUCCACAGCUUUCUUCAUUUGUAGGAACAAGUCCUUGUCCUGUUGUUAGUGGCUGAUGGAAGUUGUCACCCACCAGGCACCAAGGCAGGAGUGACCCUAUACUGUCUUUCUUGUGGAGCUGGGUCUUGGCAGCCAGAUCUUGAUUCAGGAUCUGCCAUGCCACUUCCUGACCACAGCCCUGCUCCUCCAUCCUCUGCAGGUGAAUGCCCAGGCCCUUACCAGUGCCUUCUCUCCACACACCAAGCCUUGGAUUGGUCUGGCAGAAGCUCUCGGGACACUGAUGCGAGCCUGGGCUGGGUCCCCCAAAGGGACCAUCCAGGUGAUAACACAGGGAACAUCCCUGAAGAAUGCUGGGAACUGCCUAAGCCCCGCAGUCAUUGUCGGCCUCCUGAAAGAGGCUUCCAAGCAGGCGGAUGUGAACUUGGUGAACGCUAAGCUGCUGGUGAAAGAGGCUGGCCUCAAUGUCACCACCUCCCACAGCCCUGCUGCACCAGGGGAGCAAGGCUUCGGGGAAUGCCUCCUGGCCGUGGCCCUGGCAGGCGCCCCUUACCAGGCUGUGGGCUUGGUCCAAGGCACUACACCUGUACUGCAGGGGCUCAAUGGAGCUGUCUUCAGGCCAGAAGUGCCUCUCCGCAGGGACCUGCCCCUGCUCCUAUUCCGGACUCAGACCUCUGACCCUGCAAUGCUGCCUACCAUGAUGGGCCUCCUGGCAGAGGCAGGCGUGCGGCUGCUGUCCUACCAGACUUCACUGGUGUCAGAUGGGGAGACCUGGCACGUCAUGGGCAUCUCCUCCUUGCUGCCCAGCCUGGAAGCGUGGAAGCAGCAUGUGACUGAAGCCUUCCAGUUCCACUUCUAACCUUGGAGCUCACUGGUCCCUGCCUCUGGGGCUUUUCUGAAGAAACCUACCCACUGUGAUCAAUAGGGAGAGAAAAUCCACAUUCUUGGGCUGAACGCGGGCCUCUGACACUGCUUACACUGCACUCUGACCCUGUAGUACAGCAAUAACCGUCUAAUAAAGAGCCUACCCCC
This 1753-nucleotide small RNA is filed under the name Pan troglodytes (chimpanzee). RNAcentral describes it as "retained intron". The record is from RNAcentral. Lineage: Eukaryota; Metazoa; Chordata; Mammalia; Primates; Hominidae.